GACUGUACUGUUGUUUCCAAUAUCGAAGACAGUGUUUCAUAUGCAGUGUCUGUCUUUGUUAAUGAAAAGCAUAGUACAAUC
This is a non-coding RNA of Saccoglossus kowalevskii, 81 nucleotides long. The record is from RefSeq and is marked provisional. Lineage: Eukaryota; Metazoa; Hemichordata; Enteropneusta; Harrimaniidae.